GUACACGCUGUGACUAGCAUAUCAAUAAGCGGAGGAAAAGAAACUAACAAGGAUUCCCCUAGUAACGGCGAGUGAAGCGGGAAGAGCUCAAAUUUGAAAUCUUAAAGGGUUUCCCUUUACGAAUUGUAGUUUAAAGAAGUGUUUUCUGUUGAGGUUUUGGUAAAAGUUCUUUGGAAUAGGACAUCAUAGAGGGUGAGAAUCCCGUAUUUGACCUUUACUUUCAACUUUGUGAUACACUCUCAAAGAGUCGGAUUGUUUGGGAAUGCAGUCCAAAAUGGGUGGUAAAUUUCAUCUAAAGCUAAAUAUUGGCGAGAGACCGAUAGCGAACAAGUACCGUGAGGGAAAGAUGAAAAGAACUUUGAAAAGAGAGUUAAACAGUACGUGAAAAUUGUCAAAAGGGAAGCGUUUGACACCAGUGUUGUUUUUCUGAAAAUCAAUUAAAGAACUGUUUAUGCUAAGUUGUUUAGACUUUAUCAGCUAUCUGUUUAGUUUUGAGCUUUUCUUUAAUGCACUUUUCAGUUAACAAGUCAACAUCAAUUUCUUUUGCUGUAAAAAAGCUUGAGGAAGGUGGCUUGAGAUUCGUCUUAAGUGUUUAUAGCCUCUUGCCUAUGCAGUCGGAGAGAUUGAGGUCUGCAGCGUAGAUCCUUCGGGGCUAAAUGCAUUUGUGCUAAGUUAUAGCAUUUCAUAGACAACUUGUUGACUAUGAUUUGUCUUGUAGCUUACUCGCUUAUGUUAUUUUACCUACGCUUAGGAUGUUGACGCGCGUGUGUGCGUG
This 775-nucleotide ribosomal RNA is filed under the name uncultured Neocallimastigales. RNAcentral's name for it is "partial large subunit ribosomal RNA". It matches the Rfam family "Eukaryotic large subunit ribosomal RNA", at positions 22 to 639 of the family's 3401-position model. Lineage: Eukaryota; Fungi; Neocallimastigomycota; Neocallimastigomycetes; Neocallimastigales. The record is from RNAcentral.